CGUAGGUGGCAAGCGUUGUCCGGAUUUAUUGGGCGGUAAAGACGAACGCAGGCGGGGAGAAUAAAGUCAGCUGUGAAAGCCCUCAGCUUAACUGGGGAACUGCAGCUGAAACUAUUUUUCUUGAGUGCAGAAGAGGAGAGUGGAACUCCAUGUGUAGCGGUGGAAUGCGUAGAUAUAUGGAAGAACACCAGUGGCGAAGGCGGCUCUCUGGUCUGUAACUGACGCUGAGGUUCGAAAGCAUGGGUAGCGAACAGGAUU
This 258-nucleotide ribosomal RNA is filed under the name uncultured bacterium. RNAcentral's name for it is "partial 16S ribosomal RNA". It matches the Rfam family "Bacterial small subunit ribosomal RNA", at positions 526 to 779 of the family's 1533-position model. The record is from RNAcentral.